RNAcentral lists this transfer RNA (179 nucleotides) under Nanobdellota archaeon. Its description in RNAcentral is "tRNA-Ile". The stretch from base 1 to 66 matches the Rfam family "tRNA". The record is from RNAcentral. Lineage: Archaea; Nanobdellati; Nanobdellota.
GAGCCCGUAGCUUAGCCUGGUGCUUACUUGGAGCGCCGGUCUUAUAAACCGGUGGUCCCGGGUUCGAACAUGCUCCCUGGCGGGAGAGCAAUCAAAAUGCUUCGCAUUUUGGUGUGCCAAAGCUUGUUAAGCUUUGAGCACUUUCAACGCCAGGGGCGUCGAAAGUCCCGGCGGGCUCA